GACGAACCGUGCAAACGUUGUUCGGAAUCACUGGGCUUAAAGGGCGCGUAGGCGGGCGGGCAAGUCGGAGGUGAAAGCCCACAGCUCAACUGUGGAAGUGCCUUCGAUACUGCUCGUCUAGAGGGAGGUAGGGGCGUGCGGAACUUCCGGUGGAGCGGUGAAAUGCGUAGAUAUCGGAAGGAACACCGGUGGCGAAAGCGGCGCGCUGGAUCUCUACUGACGCUGAGGCGCGAAAGCUAGGGGAGCAAAC
Molecule: ribosomal RNA, 250 nt
Filed under: uncultured bacterium
Lineage: Bacteria
Description: partial 16S ribosomal RNA
Rfam family: Bacterial small subunit ribosomal RNA
Source: RNAcentral